GAUGAACGCUGGCGGCGUGCCUAAUACAUGCAAGUCGAGCGAACAGAUGAGGAGCUUGCUCCUCUGACGUUAGCGGCGGGCGGGUGAGUAACACGUGGAUAACCUACCUAUAAGACUGGGAUAACUUCGGGAAACCGGAGCUAAUACCGGAUAAUAUAUUGCAACGCAUGGUUCAAUAGUGAAAGACGGUUUUGCUGUCACUUAUAGAUGGAUCCGCGCCGCAUUAGCUAGUUGGUAAGGUAACGGCUUACCAAGGCAACGAUGCGUAGCCGACCUGUGAGGGGGACGGCCCCCGCGGGAGCUGAGACCCGGUCCCGGCCCCGAGGGGAGGCAACGAGUGGGAAGCUUCGGCGAAGGGGGAAAGCCUGCCGGAGCAGCGCCGGGGGGAGGAAGAAGGGUUGCGGGCCGUAAAACGUUUUUAUUGGGGAAAAAAAAAUGUGUAAGUAACUAAGCCCGUUUUGACGGGACCGAAAAAGAAAGCCCGGGUAAACACGGU
This 496-nucleotide ribosomal RNA is filed under the name uncultured bacterium. RNAcentral describes it as "partial 16S ribosomal RNA". It matches the Rfam family "Bacterial small subunit ribosomal RNA", at positions 28 to 506 of the family's 1533-position model. The record is from RNAcentral.